UACAGAGGGGGCAAGCGUUGUUCGGAAUUACUGGGCGUAAAGGGCGCGUAGGCGGCCCGCUAAGUCGAACGUGAAAUCCCCGAGCUCAACUCGGGAACUGCGUCCGAUACUGGUGGGCUUGAAUCCGGGAGAGGGAUGCGGAAUUCCAGGUGUAGCGGUGAAAUGCGCAGAUAUCAGGAGGAACACCGGUGGCGAAGGCGGGUCUCUGGGCCGAUACUGACGCUGAGGAGCGAAAGCGUGGGGAGCGAACAGG
RNAcentral lists this ribosomal RNA (253 nucleotides) under uncultured bacterium. Its description in RNAcentral is "partial 16S ribosomal RNA". It matches the Rfam family "Bacterial small subunit ribosomal RNA", at positions 524 to 776 of the family's 1533-position model. The record is from RNAcentral.